AUGAGAACAAUGGAUUCAGGAAUAAUUUUAAAGAUUGGAUUCUUUAUAGCAUUUUUUUCAGAGCCAUUUACGAUUUCCGGCGCAGUACUCGCUUCAGACAAGGAUGUUAGCGAAGAGGGAACUGCUCAAAAAAUAGCCCAACAGGCGACUCCAAACCUCGACCCAGGAUCAUCACAAUUUUCGAACGAGCGCGGAGAGAGUGCUUCAAGGACCGCUCGGCGGUCUAUUGAAUCACCUGAGCCGGGCCUGACGGAUAUAUGGGAAAAACUAGAAAACAGCCUAACGCGAGAAUCUCAAGAGACUGUCUCGGAGCCUGCGGCAGAUGUAACACACUUCUGGGAAGAACUUACACAAACGUUAGCUCGAAUUGCACAGGACGACACAGACGCAAUAUCCAAAGCAUCUGUCUGGCAAGGCAUAGAGGACAGCUUGACCAGGGUCUCUCGACAAGUUGAUCCACCACACGAUGCGUCACAUUGGGACAGUUUUGUACAAAGUGUCUCAAGAGUAGCCCUUGAAGAUCCUCAGCCCAGUGAUGUGGUUGAGUUUCGGGAUGAAUUGUUAAGGAUGAUACGGCAUUCCACCCCUCAAAAAGUAUCCACUUUGCAACCGUCAUCUGAAUCACAAGGUGCUACAAGAGCAGGCCAGCAUGCUGAUAAGAGCUCUGCACCUGACACCUCGAAACUCUGGGAGGAAUUCAAAGAGUCGAUUUCGAGAGUAGCGCGAGAAGUUGGUCUGACAAAUUCGACGGGUUUUUAUGAGAGCCUGGAAAAAGAUGCCUCGAGGUUGACCAGACAGGCUAAUCAACAUCAUGAAGAGAUCCUAUCAAAGCUUUCGAAUGAGGUUGAGAACUCCAUUUCAGAUAAAGUCCGAGAACGAGGUUUGCCGAAUCCAUCACCGAGUGCGAGAGUGCGCCGGCAAGCUGGCCAACACUCUGCGUCUGAUACGACGACAGGACUGAGUUUCUCCCACCUUUGGCAAGAACUCGAAGAGUCUGUCUUAAGGGUAGCUCGAGAAGUUGGUCUGGACAAUUCAACGAGUCUCUGGGAGAAUUUAGGUAAGGCUGUUUCGAGAGUGUCAAGACAAACUGACCGCCAGUAUGAAGAACUCUGGAAUGAGUUUGAAAACUUUGUUUCGAAAGCAACCCGAGAAGCCAGCUCACCAAAUGUAGCACCAAAUCCGAGAGUGCGCAGGCAAGCCGACCACCAUUUGGCACCCGAAGCAAUUGCAGAGCCGAGUCUUUCUCAGAUCUGGAAGGAAAUUAAAGAGCCUACCUCAAGAGUAGCUCGUGAGGUAGGUCUAUCCGAUGAAACGAGUUUCUUGGAGGACUUGGGAAAGGCUGCCCUGAGAGUGACCAGACAUGCUGACCACCAGUAUGGUGAGAGUCUAUCAAAAUUAUGGGAUAAGAUUGAAGACUCAAUUUCAAAAGUAGCCCAGGAGGUUGAGCUAUCGGAUGCAUCGCCAAAUUGAGAGUGCGCCGGGAAGUUGAACAACACACUGUAUCUGAUACGACAGCAGAAUUGAGUCUCUCUCACCUUUUGACAGAAUUGGGAGAGGCUGUUUCGAGAGUGACUAGACAGACUGACCACGAAUAUGCAGAUAGCCUCUCUAAGCUUUGGGAUGAGCUUAAGAACUCUGUUUCAAGAGAAAUCCCCGAGGCAGAUUCAUCAGAUGCAUCUCCAAGGACAAGAGCGCGCCGACAAGUCGAUAAAAAUUCUGUGCAUGCCACGCCGGUGGAAUCAAGUUCCUCUCAAGUCUGGGAGGACUUUGAAGAGUCCAUUUCGAGAGAAGCCCGAGAAGUUGGUUCUUCAAAUUCAACGAAUGCCCGGGAGAACUCAGAGGAGGGUGCUACAAGAGUAAACAGACAAACUGCGAAUCAAUAUGUAGACGAUGUUUCUCAACUCUGGCAUCAGUUUGAAGAGUCUGUUUCGAGGAUAGUGCGAGAAGUCGGUUUGUUUGAUACAACAAAUAUCUCGGAAAACUUAGAAAAAGAUGCUCCUAGGGUGGCGCGAGAAGUCGCUGACCAUUCCUCAGAACCGAGUCUUCCUGAGCUCUGGCGUGAGUUUGGAGAGUCUGUUUCGCAGGUAACGAGCGAAAUCGGUUUGCGGAAUGUAUGGGAUAAUUUGAGCAAGGACACCCUGAGAGUUACCAGAAAGGCUGAUCCGAACUUAUCAGUGAUCGCAGAGGAACGGGAGAAGCUUUUUGAUCAAUCAAAGGAAAUAUCACAGGAAGGCACGCCGAUUGGAUCAGAUUCGGUGCGAGAGGGUCCAAGAAUCACGAGAGACAUCGCCUUCCGAAAGAAGAAGAGAAGGGACUCCCAAGAAGAAGCAGAGGAAAUAUCACAGGAGGACAUGCCGAUAUCGUCUGAAUCAGAGCGAAAAAGCUCAAGAGUCACAAGAGACACUGCCUUCCGAAAAAAGAAGAGAAGAGAUUCUCAAGAAGAGUUAGAAAUAUCAGGGGAAGGCACGCCGAUCUCGUCUGAUUCAGUGGAAAAAAUUUCAAGAGCCACUAGAGAUACCGCCUUCCGAAAGAAGAAGAGAAGGGAUUCUCAAGAAGAGGAAAGCGUCCCUCGGUUUGUCCGCGCGAUCAAUGGAACAGAGAGUGAUGGUUCAGGACAUGAAAAGUCGCGAAUCGCUCGGCAAACACCGGAGGGCCAACCGCACAGGCCUAGCGGUGCAAGGUGCAUACCAUGUCUCUUCGAUUGCUUGCUUAAUCCGGGUAAUCCUAGUAGCACUCCUAGACCGGCUGCCCCGGCUCCAAAUCCAAUUCUUGGCCUCUUCGUACAGCAGGCACCUUCAAGACCGCCCCCGCCACCACCGCCCGGAGGCGGUAAUUCCGCUGGCGGUCUCUUGAUGUUGAAGUGCUUCACCAAUUGUGUUAUCUGGGACUGUCUCGCUAGUGGAGUAGAGUAAAUGUCAAGAAAUGCAGUCUCUCUCAGGAAAAAAAUAUCACGUGUGGCCUAAAAGUAAGAUUGUUGGGACUUAAGGUACCUAAAGUGCAAGUUUCAAUACUGCGAUGAUUUUUUUAUUAACAAAAUUUGGCGUUAAAGAGGAGGGAUAGAAUGGAAAUUCUGAGCAUAAGGCUCUUUUGUUUGACGCAGUGUAUCUUAUGAACAGUGAUUAAACAAUAAUUGAUAUCCCUAAGUCCAUCUAUUAUCCCUAAAACGAUGUUGACAUGACAAUGUUGUUCAUAUGCUGUAUAUUGCUUAAUGCUUAUGACAUAAUCAUUGUAGAAUCAACACUGGAAUCGAUGAUCAUUCGAACUUCUUAUUCGUGGCUAUUUUAAUGUUACACCAUAAAUGGGGGGUGGCUAACAAGAAAUUUUGAACUACAUUCUUUUGGUAAGUAGUAUUUUUUUGUUAAAAGUGUCGCAAUCAAAGGGUUUGAGUUUCACGAUAACAGUUUUUAAACUUCUUAUUUUGUGGCAAAGAAUUUGGAAAGUUAGUAAAGAAGGAGAUGUAGGACUAUACGCGUUGUUUUCUUACAUGUAGGUGAAACUCUGCAAAAUUCAUGUAAAUGCUUGUGCGUUAUUUCUCUCUGCCUAUACAUGGAACUAUCAAAUUCUUGUACACAUGGUUGAUGGAAAUCUUCAUGAAUGACUACCUCCAUAAAUGCUGUGUAUCUAGAAAUUGCUUUUGCUCAGAGUGAAAUAUAAUGAAUUAAAUAUUAUUUCGCAACUUUGGGAGGUCAUUAAUCACAGAUUGAAAGUUGAAAGUUUGUGAACAGAGAUAUGCAAUUUAUUAACUGAGAAGUAACAUGCAUUUAAUUUAACUCGUGUCAAAAUUGUAAACUAGUGUGCACCUUUUGAAGUCACAAACGAGUAAACCACGCAAAAGCUUUAACACUAACCGUGCCGCAAUAUUAUCAUUACUAAGGGUUCUUGUUAUAAAAACUGCAAAUCUUAAUUUCAGAAAAAUAAAUAAUGUAUUAUAAAUCCGAAUUUUCAGUAUAGAAUUUUGAUUACAAUGUAAUUUAUCUUUCCUGUAAUGAAAUCACUGUCUCAAAAUGUGUUUCUUUUUUGAUAUCAGUAUUUUUUCUACAACUUGAUUAAUUUCAGUUACGUUUUACCUUUUUUUUGGACUAAUUUAGAACAUACUUUGGUUUGGAUGUAAAAAUUGGUUAUAAAAUAUCACAAAAAAUUGAGAGAUGAAUGAGUAUGCAUGCCUCGAGUUCGCGAAGUGUUUCACAAAAUUUUGUCUUCUCCUGCAUUAUUCUUUUUUGUCAACAUGCAACUGCUUUCUCAACAGGUAGUUCAGAAUAAUCGGUUUUAUACAACUGAUGGGUGCAUCAAUCAGCAAGUGACAAUAAAGUGAAAGAAAAUAUGUCAGUGGGACAUCACCCCAAUGCUGGCCUCCAUAUAUCUAGAAAAAGGGUCAAAUUUACAUUGAAAUUAAAGACGUGUAAAAGACACAUUGAAAGAACAAAAGGACAACAGAAAAAACUUAGCACAUGUGAGAUUUGCGUUAAAAUAAUUAAAUUAUUCAAAAUUAAGUCAGCGCCAACGUUAUUUUUGUAGAAAUGGAUACCUAUUUUCAACACCAUUACACACAUUAGACACGUAAAGUCUUCGUUGAAAUGAAUUUUAGUUCCCUCAUGUACAGUCCGAAAGGAUUUUUUCCAGUUUUACUGAUUCUCUUUUUCUAUUCUCUCCUAUUACUUAAAUGUCUGUAUCCUGUUUCUCCAAUUAAGGAGUGGAUAACAUAUAAUAACUGGUCAAGAGUUAUAACCAUCUAGAGAUUAACCGGCAGAAAUAAUAAACCUUAAGCUAUUGCAUCAUUUUAAAUGUAUUUUUUUGUAAUUUAAAAGGUUUAACACUUCUAGACGGUCGGAUAUUUGCCUGUCCCUCAAUUUUUUCGUAAUUACAUUUAUUUUUAAUACUAGGCGAAUUCUGAAGGCUUUUUAUAAAGGGAGAAAAAAACAUUGAUUUUAGUUGCAUUCUUUAAAAUGUUAAAACAAUUAAUCCAUAAUUCCGUUUUAAUCUGACUUACCAUGUCCUCAUGAGUGAUGUGGAUAUUAGUUUUGUAGGAGCCAACCCUAUUCAUAAUCAGUGGUAUAUUGAUGAGGAAUGCCCAAAAAUUCAGUCUACUGAACGGUGGGAAAAGGCUUUGCGUCAGAAACAAUGAAUCCAAUGCACCUGAAAACAUGAAAAAGAAAUUCGGCAUUUUUAGGGACUGAGCAAUGUUAAUAAUAAAUUCCUUUGAAUCUCGAAAAUCUUAGGUACGAUCGUUACUUAUUUUUAAUUACAGCUUCGAUGCCUUUUCAAGAAUGUUUGCAUUGAAUCCCAACGAUUAAGAAUUGUUAAAUUUGUUUUUAUCAAUUUCUUUGAAUAUUACCAAUGAGCGAUGGUUUUCCGGAUAGCAUAUUAACCCCGCUCGUAAAUAUGCUUACGGGUACUAGAAUACAUUAAUUACAAACAGUAAAUGAAAUAAAAAUCCCAAUCGAAAAUCAUUCUUCUCUUCAAUCUCAACCAAUGAUGAGACAAACAUUGUGGUGGAAAAAUAUCGUGCACGAUAUUUUAGUUUAUCGUGUGGUGACGUGUUCACCACCCGUCGUAUUUUCAAUUUCAAUGAAAAUAUAAUGAAAGGGAACAAAACACUAAAAAAUUGACUCUAAUUGAGAAAGGUGGCAACAUUUUGAUUUUCACAUGAUAUACGCCUAAAUGAACAAACUAAGUACGCAACGUCUUAAUUUCUAAAAUGCGGAAAUGAGUCUUAAUCAUAAAUUUAAUUUUUUUUUUAAAAUUUAUUUUCUUUAAAAUUAACAAUUUUUUUGGACAUUAAUUAUUGUUUAUAGAAGUAAGGCUGAAUUCUUGUGUAUCAAAUGAAUCUAUCAAACAACACACGCAGCAUGAAGUAAAAAACUUAACUCAUCAUGAAUUUUUCCCGCCACGUGUAUUUGCCCCAGGGUU
Molecule: long non-coding RNA, 5907 nt
Filed under: Bemisia tabaci
Lineage: Eukaryota; Metazoa; Arthropoda; Insecta; Hemiptera; Aleyrodidae
Description: lncRNA ENSSSA2NGG002329
Source: RNAcentral